Molecule: long non-coding RNA, 149 nt
Filed under: Microcebus murinus (gray mouse lemur)
Lineage: Eukaryota; Metazoa; Chordata; Mammalia; Primates; Cheirogaleidae
Description: lncRNA (ENSMICG00000048728.1)
Source: RNAcentral
CAGGUGCCUCAACCUGGCAGCGCCUCGUAACCCCUGGGGCAGGCGCCUCUAGACCCUGGGGCAGGCUCCUCUAGACCCUGGGGCAGGCUCUCUAGACCCUGGGGCAGGCUCUCUAGACCCUGGGGCAGGCUCUCUAGACCCUGGGGCAG